This is a long non-coding RNA of Oncorhynchus tshawytscha (Chinook salmon), 395 nucleotides long. The record is from Ensembl. Lineage: Eukaryota; Metazoa; Chordata; Actinopteri; Salmoniformes; Salmonidae.
CAAGUAGUGUCUGUCCCAGCAGGUAGUGUCUGUCCCAGCAGGUAGUGUCUGUCCCAGCAGGUAGUGUCUGUCCCAUCAGGUAGUGUCUUUCCCAUCAUGUAGUGUCUGUCCCAGCAGGCAGUGUCUGUCCCAUCGGGUAGUGUCUGUCCCAGCAGGCAGUAUCUGUCCCAUCGGGUAGUGUCUGUCCCAGCAGGUAGUGUCUGUCCCAUCAGGUAGUGUCUUUCCCAUCAGGUAGUGUCUUUCCCAUCAGGUAGUGUCUGUCCCAGCAGGUAGUGUCUGUCCCAGCAGGUAGUGUCUGUCCCAGCAGGUAGUGUCUGUCCCAUCAGGUAGUGUCUUUCCCAUCAUGUAGUGUCUGUCCCAGCAGGUAGUGUCUGUCCCAGCAGGUAGUGUCUGUC